AGGAUUCUCCUAGUAACGGCGAGUGAACGGAGAUUAGCCCGUCACCGAAGUCCGGUGCUUUUGCAUGCAGGACAAUGUGGUGUUUAGGCGUGUGCCUGGGAUUGUGUUCCUACUCCAAGUCCAACUCCGAUUGUGGCGUGGAUAUUCCCCAGAGCGGGUGAAAGGCCCCUCCGAGUAGGCUAUUGCAUACAUAAACACAGUCCUCAGAUGCACAUGCUAUCGAGUCGGAUUGCUUGAGAAUGCAGUCCAAAUCGGGUGGUAAACUCCAUCCAAGGCUAAAUACUGGCGCGAGUCCGAUAGUAGACAAGUACCGUGAGGGAAAGUUGAAAAGUACUCUGAAGAGAGAGUAAAUAGUACGUGAAGCCAUUUGCAGGGAAGCUGGUGGAGUCAAGCUUCGUGCUUGAGAAAUUGUAAUCAGCAUCGUUGUGUGUUCGAGGUGUGGUAAUGUGUCAAUAUGGAAAGUAUUGGGCGUAUUUGUGCGCUUCAAGACAAUCCGGGUUGCAUGUAUGAGCAUAUUGCCGUUUCACUCGAUGCUGGUUAUCUAUUUCUCUACUCGCACAAAUCACGGUCGACGAGUGUGUGCUUGAUGAUCGUCUAACAGUGCUUUGAUGGGCCUUGCGCUUAUCGGGUAUUGAAUGGCAGGUCUUGGUCUUGAGUUUUCCGACUCAUUGAUCGAAUAUAGUGGUUUUGACCAGCUGACUUUCAUUGAGUAUCGCACUUGUCGUGUUUGAAUGGCGUGUAGUUACGUAACUGCAUACUAGUAACAACCGUGAUCCUGAGGUAGA
This 785-nucleotide ribosomal RNA is filed under the name Protogyrodactylus sp. 1 XW-2006. RNAcentral's name for it is "partial 28S ribosomal RNA". It matches the Rfam family "Eukaryotic large subunit ribosomal RNA", at positions 71 to 634 of the family's 3401-position model. Lineage: Eukaryota; Metazoa; Platyhelminthes; Monogenea; Dactylogyridea; Dactylogyridae. The record is from RNAcentral.